CGGGAAGAAGGCCUUCGGGUUGUAAACCGCUUUGGUCGGGAAGAAAGGGUUCAGGUUAAUACGGCCUGGAUUGUGACGUACCGGCAGAAUAAGCACCGGCUAACUACCGUGC
RNAcentral lists this ribosomal RNA (112 nucleotides) under uncultured bacterium. RNAcentral describes it as "partial 16S ribosomal RNA". The record is from RNAcentral.